GUACACUCCUGCGGGAGGCAGCAGUGGGGAAUUUUGGACAAUGGGCGAAAGCCUGAUCCAGCAAUGCCGCGUGAGUGAAGAAGGCCUUCGGGUUGUAAAGCUCUUUUGUCAGGGAAGAAACGGUGAAAGCUAAUAUCUUUUGCUAAUGACGGUACCUGAAGAAUAAGCACCGGCUAACUACGUGCCAGCAGCCGCGGUAAUACGUAGGGUGCAAGCGUUAAUCGGAAUUACUGGGCGUAAAGCGUGCGCAGGCGGUUUUGUAAGUCUGAUGUGAAAUCCCCGGGCUCAACCUGGGAAUUGCAUUGGAGACUGCAAGGCUAGAAUCUGGCAGAGGGGGGUAGAAUUCCACGUGUAGCAGUGAAAUGCGUAGAUAUGUGGAGGAACACCGAUGGCGAAGGCAGCCCCCUGGGUCAAGAUUGACGCUCAUGCACGAAAGCGUGGGGAGCAAACAGGAUUAGAAACCCGUGUAGUCCCAUGAU
Molecule: ribosomal RNA, 479 nt
Filed under: uncultured organism
Description: partial 16S ribosomal RNA
Rfam family: Bacterial small subunit ribosomal RNA
Source: RNAcentral